AACGCACCUUGCGCUCCCUGGUAUUCCGAGGAGCAUGCCCGUUUGAGAGUCAUGGAAACCCUCAGCCCUCCAUCGCCUCCGGUGUUGGGUUGGACUUGGACGCCUGCUGCGACCUUUUCGGCUUUGCGGCUCGUCUUAAAUGCAUUAGUCGACUCCGUUGGGACCCGCCUUUGACGUGAUAGACAUCGCCGUCGAGGUUGGGACCCGACUUGAAGGGAGCGGCUCACAACCGUCUUCGGACAGUGCCCUUGACCUUUUGACCUCAAAUCGGGUAGGACUACCCGCUGAACUUAA
This 294-nucleotide unclassified non-coding RNA is filed under the name uncultured Agaricomycetes. RNAcentral's name for it is "sequence contains 5.8S rRNA gene, ITS2, 28S rRNA gene". Lineage: Eukaryota; Fungi; Basidiomycota; Agaricomycetes. The record is from RNAcentral.